Long non-coding RNA from Rosa rugosa (rugosa rose), 1061 nucleotides. RefSeq lists it as uncharacterized. The record is from RefSeq and is a predicted model, not a curated record. The transcript has 3 exons. NCBI's taxonomy places the organism in Eukaryota, Viridiplantae, Streptophyta, Magnoliopsida, Rosales, Rosaceae.
AGUUUGAAAGAUCAAGUUUUAAAAUUCCUACAAGCCAAAGCAGAAGAGAGAAAAAGGUCUAAUUUUUUUUUCCUCCCCUGUAAAGGAGGCUGAUAGUUAUUAUUCAAAACGUCAAGGGACGUACUUUUUUGAUUUUAUGCAUAAAAGUUUUGGCACCAUUUUUCUGCUGCUGUUCCUUUGUCUGCUACCCAAUAUAGUCUUGGUUUCAUAUUGUUAUUCAGAUUUUAGGAACAAUUUGCAGUCAGAUUCUUUAACGGUUUUGGAUCCAGGUAUAACUUUCGAAGGACUAUCGAUCAUCUUUGUUCCUAUUGUAGUAAAAAUCACAACCUAAUUUUGUGCAACUAUGCUUAAUAUAGAGCUAUUUAUCCUUUGUUUGUUCAAUUUGUUUUUGAGUUUAACUGAGCUUGAUUCUUUGUGGAAAACAGUCUUAAUUUUUCUUUUUGUUUAAAUUUUGUAAUUUUAUUUUUAUUCAUGAAAAUCUAAAUUUCAUGAAUUUCUGAAUUUCUAUUCUUUUAUUGUUAUGUAUUUUCUCAUUUAAAGACAUUGUUGGAUUGCCUGGUUUUGCUUUGCCAAGAGAUAAUUUAUUAUUCAUUUAACACUUACUCUAAAAACAUAGCUGCCAAGUAGAGGAAUCAAUAUUGAUAUUUCUUUUUUAUAUAUAUAUAUAUAUUCUGCUCUCUGUCUGUUCUCAUGACAAUGAACUGCAAACAUAAUUGAAACUGUAAUGGUGUAAUGAUGCGUAACCCACAACAGAACAUUAACAUUUAUCUACUUUAUUUGAUAGCGUUUUUAACCUUUGUUAUUCAUGUAUGGUAAAGGUUUCUGAAAUUUGUUUCAAUUUGUUUUCUUUGAUCUUAUUUUGAUUUCCAGUUUUACAUCUGUACUUGAUAGAUGAUAGUUUUAAAGUACAGUUAUGGUGUCAAGAACUCGAAGAGUAAAAUCGAAAAGUUCUUUCAUUCAUUGCUGAAAUUACUCAAAUUAGUGAUACUUGACAUGUUGUGACUAUUGGCUAUUGCAGUAACAAUGAAUUGUGGAAUAGAAGAAGACUUCGUUUUUCUGGU